CGAAGCUCAGAUUGAUGCUGUUUAUGCUGCAAUGAAAGCUUUGAAUUUCGAUGAUGUGAAAAUGGAGAUUACUGAAACUGGAUGGCCUUCAAAAGGCGAUGAAAACGAGACUGGUGCAAGUGCUGACAAUGCUGCUGCUUACAACGGUAAUCUGGUAAAAAGAGUGCUUACUGGAAGUGGGACCCCUUUAAAGCCCGAUGAACCUCUUAACGUCUAUUUAUUCGCUUUGUUCAAUGAGAAUCAAAAGCCCGGGCCCGUUUCAGAACGGAACUACGGUCUUUUCUAUCCUAGUAAAGAAAAGGUUUACGAUAUUAUGCUUACCCGAGAAGGUUUAGAGGCCGGGCCUAAUAAUGGAAGUAAAAGCCAGGUGGUGAAGAUUCCGGUACCGUCUCCGUCGUCUUCUCCGACUCCGGCGCCAGUUGUUGGCGGCGGUGUGGAGGAGAGUAAGGUCGGCGCCGGUUGUUGGCGGCGGUGUGGAGGAGAGUAAGGUGGUGAACACGUGGUGUGUGGCGAAUGAGAAAGCUGGGACGGAGCAGCUGCAAGCGGCGUUGGACUAUGCUUGUGGAGAAGGAGGAGCUGAUUGCCGUCCGAUUCAGCCGGGUGCCACGUGUCAUAAUCCUGAUACACUUGCGGCACAUGCUUCUUAUGCGUUCAAUAGUUAUUAUCAAAAGAAAGCACGUGGGACUGGCACGUGCGAUUUCAAAGGAGCAGCUUACGUCGUCACUCAACAUCCAAGUAAGUAUUCAUAGACGCGGCUCAAUAAAAUAGGUGGCUUCGUAAUAUUUCGUUUUUAUUUUAGAAGCUAAAUAAUUGUUUUUUUUGUAAUUUACUAAAUAUUAAUUUUGUUUUCUUAUUGCAGAAUAUGGCAGUUGCAAGUUUCCAACAGGAUAUUAAAAAUUGAGGAGAUUGGUUAAGAAGUUUAGUAUGCAAAUGGUUUUAGUUAUUUGAUGUCUACAUUCUUUUUCCUUUAGUAGUAUUUCAGUAUUAUUUAUUAGUAUAUAAUGAAACAACUUAUCCCAUAAAUAUGAUGAAAUAUCUCAACACAUAGGAUAACUUCAUUCUCAUACCAAACAAAUCCAUUAUAUAAAGUAAUUAUAUAAAAUAAUACGCUCUUGGUCCAACAAUAGUUGUCCACUAUACUAUUUUGGGAUGUUGAACAAUACUUGUCCACUUUAUGAAAUCAAUAGAUAAAUUAUACUCCCUCCAUUUCAUAUUGAUUGAAUUGUUGAGACAUUUUUCAUUUUUCAAAUUAACUUAAUUGUUCAAUUUUCAAGACUAUUUUUAGAAUGUUCUUCCAAUUUCACCCUUCAUUAGUUAGUAUUCAAAUUAGUUAUUUAUCAAUAUUUAGUUAUUUUAAUCAUAAAUUUGACAAUCAUUAAUAAGGGUAAAAAUGAAAAGUUAUGCCUAAUUUAUGUCUUAAUCUUUUUUUCUUAAAGGGUGUGAAACACAUCAACAACUCAAUGAAUUUGAAAUGAAUGGAGUAAUCAUUUUCCUAUUACAUUUUUCAAGACAUUGUAUAUAAUAUUAUAUUCAAAAGGUCAUAAGUAAAUUAUCAUUCCAUUUAUAAUUUCUUAAGAAGUGUGUAAAGUCGAUAGUAAAAAUUAUUAUUAGAUAGAGAAAAUACUAAUUAAAUUAAAAAUAUAAAAAUAUUAUUAAUAAAAUUAAUUUAGUAAAAAUACAUUGCCUUAUCCAUCCAUUCCACAAGUUAUUAGAAAGUAAUAGAUGAGAUCUAGCAUAAAACUUAAGUUAAGAAUAAUAAUAAAAAACAUAUUUAAUAAAAAUAUUAUCUAACCUCAUAAGGUUAAUAAAAUCCUUAUUAUCUUACAUAAUAACUUUAUUAAAUACUUAAUGCAAAAUUAAUGAAGUUUUAUAGGUGACCCCACUUUCACCACAUUUGUUAAUUUUUUCAAACCCACUCCCUUUAUUUUUAACCACUAACAUCCCCUCUACCCCCAUUAACAACAUGCACGACUCUUUCUUCCUUACUGCCAAGUCUUUCACUUCUUUUUCUCUAUAUAAACUCAACCAUAAUCACCAAAUACACAAAUAUCCUCUUUCUUUCUCAUUGCUCUCUUUUCUCCUUACAUCCACAGCAAUGGCCUCUUUUACUACAUUAACUUCCCUCUUCGUUCUUCUCUCUUUGCUCUCUUAUGCAAAUUCCGGUUCUAUUGGUGUCAAUUAUGGCCGUAUUGCUAAUAAUCUUCCGACUCCAGAAGAAGUUGUUCAGCUCCUCAAAUCUCAAGGCAUUAAUCGCGUAAAGCUUUACGAUACUGAUUCCGCUGUUCUUACAGCUCUUUCUGGAUCCAAUAUAUCAGUUACUGUUGCACUUCCUAACGAGCAACUCUCUGAUGCAGCCUCGAAGCAGUCUUUUACUGAUUCAUGGGUUCAAUCGAAUAUUAUUCGUUAUUAUCCAAAAACAAAUAUAGAAUCUAUAGCUGUUGGAAAUGAGGUUUUUGUAGAUCCAAAAAAUACAACCAAAUUUCUAGUACCCGCCAUGAAAAAUGUUUACGCAUCUCUUGUUAAAUACGGCGUCGCUUCGUCUAUCAAAGUUUCAUCCCCUGUUGCUCUCAGUGCUCUGCAAAAUUCCUAUCCUUCAUCUUCUGGUUCAUUCAAAACGGAUCUAAUCGAACCGGUUAUUAAACCGAUGUUGAGUUUCCUCAAGCAAUCGGGUUCUUUCUUAGCUGUUAAUAUUUAUCCAUUUUUUGCUUAUGUAGCGAAUACGGAUACGAUUUCUUUGGAUUAUGCUUUGUUUAGGGAUAAUAAAGGUGUAACUGACCCAAAUAAUGGACUUGUUUAUAAAAGCCUUUUCGAAGCUCAGAUUGAUGCUGUUUAUGCUGCAAUGAAAGCUUUGAAUUUCGAUGAUGUGAAAAUGGAGAUUACUGAAACUGGAUGGCCUUCAAAAGGCGAUGAAAACGAGACUGGUGCAAGUGCUGACAAUGCUGCUGCUUACAACGGUAAUCUGGUAAAAAGAGUGCUUACUGGAAGUGGGACCCCUUUAAAGCCCGAUGAACCUCUUAACGUCUAUUUAUUCGCUUUGUUCAAUGAGAAUCAAAAGCCCGGGCCCGUUUCAGAACGGAACUACGGGCUUUUCUAUCCUAGUAAAGAAAAGGUUUACGAUAUUACGCUUAUCCGAGAAGGUUUAGAGGCCGAUCCUAAU
This 3157-nucleotide long non-coding RNA is filed under the name Solanum tuberosum (potato). RNAcentral describes it as "long non-coding RNA (STUB_LNC011255)". Lineage: Eukaryota; Viridiplantae; Streptophyta; Magnoliopsida; Solanales; Solanaceae. The record is from RNAcentral.